This 787-nucleotide ribosomal RNA is filed under the name uncultured bacterium. RNAcentral describes it as "bacterial SSU rRNA". It matches the Rfam family "Bacterial small subunit ribosomal RNA", at positions 8 to 796 of the family's 1533-position model. The record is from RNAcentral.
AGAGUUUGAUCAUGGCUCAGGAUGAACGCUAGCGGCAGGCUUAACACAUGCAAGUCGAGGGGUAUAGGUUUUCGGACCUAGAGACCGGCGCACGGGUGCGUAACGCGUAUGCAAUCUGCCUUUUACAGAGGGAUAGCCCAGAGAAAUUUGGAUUAAUACCUCAUAGUAUAGUACAACCGCAUGGUUGAACUAUUAAAGUCACAACGGUAAAAGAUGAGCAUGCGUCCCAUUAGCUAGUUGGUAAGGUAACGGCUUACCAAGGCAACGAUGGGUAGGGGUCCUGAGAGGGAGAUCCCCCACACUGGUACUGAGACACGGACCAGACUCCUACGGGAGGCAGCAGUGAGGAAUAUUGGUCAAUGGGCGCAAGCCUGAACCAGCCAUGCCGCGUGCAGGAUGAAGCAUCUAUGGUGUGUAAACUGCUUUUGUACGAGAAGAAACACUCCUUCGUGAAGGAGCUUGACGGUAUCGUAAGAAUAAGGACCGGCUAACUCCGUGCCAGCAGCCGCGGUAAUACGGAGGGUCCAAGCGUUAUCCGGAAUCAUUGGGUUUAAAGGGUCCGUAGGCGGUUUUGUAAGUCAGUGGUGAAAGCCCAUCGCUCAACGGUGGAACGGCCAUUGAUACUGCAAGACUUGAAUUAUUGGGAAGCAACUAGAAUAUGUAGUGUAGCGGUGAAAUGCUUAGAGAUUACAUGGAAUACCAAUUGCGAAGGCAGGUUGCUACCAAUAUAUUGACGCUGAUGGACGAAAGCGUGGGGAGCGAACAGGAUUAGAUACCCUAGUAGUCC